CCACAGCCAGCCGCCGCUUCUCCACUGCCGCCAUCUUCGCUGAGGGCAGUGGGACCGGAAGGACGUCCAUAUUUCACAGUGUGCUGGUUGGCUUUCCUGGCUUAGGCCCCCGAACUUAAAUUUUGCCAGACUCCAAAAUGGAUCCCAAGGAAGGGCUUGAUUUCUGCUCCUCGGUUCCAGAAGGCUGACGACCCUGGCAUCUACGGCCCUUCAUCUGCCGGUAUCAUUUCCAGCCUCUCUCUCGCCUCUCCCCACGCUUUAGCCUCCAGCCACCCCAAAAGAGAUGCAAUUUCCCUUAUCAAGCCACCUCUCUUCUGUGUCUUUGCCCGUGCUGUCCUCCAACAAAUACUUUUCUCCACUUCUUUUGAGGACUCCUAGUUACUCAU
Molecule: long non-coding RNA, 386 nt
Organism: Physeter macrocephalus (sperm whale)
Lineage: Eukaryota; Metazoa; Chordata; Mammalia; Artiodactyla; Physeteridae
Exons: 3
Source: RefSeq, a predicted model, not a curated record